CCUACGGGAGGCAGCAGUGGGGAAUAUUGCACAAUGGGGGGAACCCUGAUGCAGCGACGCCGCGUGGGUGAAGGAGUAUUUCGGUAUGUAAAGCCCUAUCAGCAGGGAAGAACAAUGACGGUACCUGACUAAGAAGCACCGGCUAAAUACGUGCCAGCAGCCGCGGUAAUACGUAUGGUGCAAGCGUUAUCCGGAUUUACUGGGUGUAAAGGGAGCGCAGGCGGCGCGUUAAGCCUGGUGUGAAAGCCCGCGGCCCAACCGCGGGACUGCAUUGGGAACUGGCGCGCUGGAGUGCCGGAGGGGUAGGCGGAAUUCCUAGUGUAGCGGUGAAAUGCGUAGAUAUUAGGAGGAACACCAGUGGCGAAGGCGGCCUACUGGACGGUGACUGACGCUGAGGCUCGAAAGCGUGGGGAGCAAACAGGAUUAGAUACCCUAGU
This 437-nucleotide ribosomal RNA is filed under the name uncultured bacterium. Its description in RNAcentral is "bacterial SSU rRNA". It matches the Rfam family "Bacterial small subunit ribosomal RNA", at positions 338 to 791 of the family's 1533-position model. The record is from RNAcentral.